GAUGAACGCUGGCGGCGUGCUUAACACAUGCAAGUCGAACGGAGUUAUAGUGACGGAAGCUUUCGGGUGGAAGAUAUUAUAACUUAGUGGCGGACGGGUGAGUAACGCGUGGGUAACCUGCCUUAUACAGGGGGAUAACAGUGAGAAAUCAUUGCUAAUACCGCAUAAGACCCCAGUAUCGCAUGAUACAGAGGUAAAAGAUUUAUUGGUAUAAGAUGGACCCGCGUCCUAUUAGAUAGUUGGUGAGGUAAUGGCUCACCAAGUCGACGAUAGGUAGCCGAUCUGAGAGGAUGACCGGCCACAUUGGGACUGAGACACGGCCCAAACUCCUACGGGAGGCAGCAGUGGGGAAUAUUGGACAAUGGGGGGAACCCUGAUCCAGCGACGCCGCGUGAGUGAAGAAGUAUUUCGGUAUGUAAAGCUCUAUCAGCAGGGAAGAAAAUGACGGUACCUGACUAAGAAGCCCCGGCUAACUACGUGCCAGCAGCCGCGGUAAUACGUAGGGGGCAAGCGUUAUCCGGAUUUACUGGGUGUAAAGGGAGCGUAGACGGUAGUGUAAGUCUGAAGUGAAAUCCCGGGGCUCAACCCUGGGACUGCUUUGGAAACUACAUAACUAGAGUGUCGGAGAGGUAAGCGGAAUUCCUAGUGUAGCGGUGAAAUGCGUAGAUAUUAGGAGGAACACCAGCGGCGAAGGCGGCUUACUGGACGAUAACUGACGUUAAGGCUCGAAGGCGCGGGUAGCAAACAGG
This 749-nucleotide ribosomal RNA is filed under the name uncultured bacterium. RNAcentral describes it as "bacterial SSU rRNA". It matches the Rfam family "Bacterial small subunit ribosomal RNA", at positions 28 to 776 of the family's 1533-position model. The record is from RNAcentral.